Molecule: long non-coding RNA, 1430 nt
Filed under: Homo sapiens (human)
Lineage: Eukaryota; Metazoa; Chordata; Mammalia; Primates; Hominidae
Description: HSALNT0268777
Source: RNAcentral
UGGAGGGGUGCAGACAAGGAAAGGGAACCAGGAGGUGUACUUGCAAACUUGACCUACUAAAGGCAUGGCUUCCAGAGCUCUGAGGACAGUUGACCUUCAAAACAACGAUUGACCUUGGGGAAAGGAUGAGUCACAGAGGCUCCAGGGCCUGGUUCCUGCUGGCAGAGCUUCCAGCCUCUGAGUCCCAGAGUGUUCUCUCCUAGGAGUGAAACAUGUACUUGGUAGAUGUCGGCUGCCUCCACCAAAUGCAAAAACGCAUCUCAUCCUGUGAGCUGACCUUGCUGGGGAAUGAGUUUGAUUUGAGAAGCGGAUUCCUUCUCCCCGGGAAAGGCACAAAGUUUUCUUUCCAAGUGCAGGUUGAAACUAACUCCUGGUGAAGAAGCUCACGGCACCAUCCAGCAUGGCACCGUCUGGGAGUCGUUUUUGAUUAGAAGUUGACCUCAGAAAUAUGCUCACAUCAUUUUGAAAGCAUCUUCCAGCACCACAGAAAUCGACUCAGAUGGAGAAAGGACACUGAGUGGACAGGGGCCAGGAUGGGGCGUGGACGCUCUGCCUCUGCCGGGGACAAGGCCUUCCCACAGACUCCCUGGGGUGUUGCCAGCCUGAGUCAGAGAUAUUGAUGUAAUGCCUACCGUGUUCCAGACACGCUGCGAGGCCCUGGGGAUGCAGCCACAAUCCCAACAGAUCUGAUGCCUGCUCUCAUGGAACUGACUUUGCACUGGGGGGAGGCCAACUCCACGAAAACAGAAACUGGAUGACACAUUGGAGGGAGAGCAGUAAAAGGAGCAAGCAGAGAGCAAGAACAACAGUGUUGCCAUGGGGCGGGUGGGCCCGCUGUAGCCAGGGAGGGCCUCUCCGAAGGUAUAACAGUGCCUUGCUGAAUUCACUCCCACGACCCCUCCAUGCUUGGGUCAGGAUGCAUGAACCUGAAAGCACAUGAAGUCCUCUCUGGGAUCUUCUGCCUUUGGUCCUAACUGUUCUCAGGGGGAAGCGACUCUGAAGGCCAAGAGAGUCAACUCCAGAAGAAAACCCCUACUAGAUGCAAGAAGAAUGGGCAUCGCUAACCAGCCCGUUUGCUGAUGUAUGGCCCCUAUACUUUCGUUGGUUUCCUGGUUUCUCUUUGCAGGCAAUUAUUUAACCCUGUGAUGGAACAAAGCAGCCAGGAAGCAGUAGGGUUGGCCGUGGGUUGGGGCUGGAGUCUUAGCAGUCAGCCUGGAGGAGCUGCGGGCUCAUGUCAGCACUCUGGGAGAAAUGAGCAAGCUUUUGGGAGGAGGAAGGCAAAUCCAUCCUCACCCGGGCUGUGAGCAUGCCACUGGGCUCGAGGCGAAUGGGGAGGAAAUCAAAGUGUCAGCUCGUGUUAGGAAACCGCACAUGAUGCUUCCCAGUCCUGGCCGUGCUUUUAAAAAUUAGCCAAAUAAAAAUGGUUGAAG